GAGUUUGAUCCUGGCUCAGAUUGAACGCUGGCGGAAUGCUUUACACAUGCAAGUCGAACGGCAGCACGGGGCAACCUGGUGGCGAGUGGCGAACGGGUGAGUAAUAUAUCGGAACGUGCCCAAUCGUGGGGGAUAACGUAGCGAAAGUUACGCUAAUACCGCAUACGAUCUACGGAUGAAAGCGGGGGAUCGCAAGACCUCGCGCGAAUGGAGCGGCCGAUAUCAAAUUAGGUAGUUGGUGGGGUAAAGGCUCACCAAGCCAACGAUCUGUAGCUGGUCUGAGAGGACGACCAGCCACACUGGAACUGAGACACGGUCCAGACUCCUACGGGAGGCAGCAGUGGGGAAUUUUGGACAAUGGGCGCAAGCCUGAUCCAGCCAUUCCGCGUGCAGGAUGAAGGCCUUCGGGUUGUAAACUGCUUUUGUACGGAACGAAACGGUCUGCCCUAAUACGGCAGGCUAAUGACGGUACCGUAAGAAUAAGCACCGGCUAACUACGUG
This 501-nucleotide ribosomal RNA is filed under the name uncultured bacterium. Its description in RNAcentral is "bacterial SSU rRNA". It matches the Rfam family "Bacterial small subunit ribosomal RNA", at positions 9 to 507 of the family's 1533-position model. The record is from RNAcentral.